This 253-nucleotide ribosomal RNA is filed under the name uncultured bacterium. RNAcentral describes it as "partial 16S ribosomal RNA". It matches the Rfam family "Bacterial small subunit ribosomal RNA", at positions 524 to 776 of the family's 1533-position model. The record is from RNAcentral.
UACGUAGGGGGCAAGCGUUAUCCGGAUUUACUGGGUGUAAAGGGAGCGUAGACGGCAGCGCAAGUCUGGAGUGAAAUGCCGGGGCCCAACCCCGGAACUGCUUUGGAAACUGUGCGGCUCGAGUGCGGGGGAGGUAGGCGGAAUUCCUAGUGUAGCGGUGAAAUGCGUAGAUAUUAGGAGGAACACCAGUGGCGAAGGCGGCUUACUGGACCGUAACUGACGUUGAGGCUCGAAAGCGUGGGGAGCAAACAGG